Molecule: ribosomal RNA, 658 nt
Filed under: uncultured Sebacinaceae
Lineage: Eukaryota; Fungi; Basidiomycota; Agaricomycetes; Sebacinales; Sebacinaceae
Description: eukaryotic LSU rRNA
Rfam family: 5.8S ribosomal RNA (bases 215-368)
Source: RNAcentral
AAAGUCGUAACAAGGUUUCCGUAGGUGAACCUGCGGAAGGAUCAUUAUUGAUUGUGAAUCGUUGCCUCCAGUGCUGGCUCUCGCAAGUGCACGGUUGGUGACUUUCAUCCAACACCCUGUGAACCYUUGGCCUCUUGCUAGCUUCGGCUGGCAGAGGAUUUUUACACACACUCGAAUGUAAUGAAAUUAUUGUCGUGCGCAAGCACUUAUGUACAACUUUCAACAACGGAUCUCUUGGCUCUCGCAUCGAUGAAGAACGCAGCGAAAUGCGAUAAGUAAUGUGAAUUGCAGAAUUCAGUGAAUCAUCGAAUCUUUGAACGCACCUUGCACCCUUUGGCAUUCCGAAGGGUAUGCUCGUUUGAGUGUCAUUGUACUCUCACACUUCUGAUCCUUUGGAUUUGGAGCGGUGGACUUGGGUGUUGCCACUUGACAGUGGCUCACCUCUAAUGCAUUAGUGCAACUCCUGGUUGGACCAUAGUACGGCGUGAUAAGUGUCUUCGCCGGCACCUCGUGAGAGGGUGGCCGAUCGAGAGCUCUGUGCUUUCAAACCGUCCUUGCAAGGACAAUGACUGACAACUUGACCUCAAAUCGAGUAGGACUACCCGCUGAACUUAAGCAUAUCAAUAAGCGGAGGAAAAGAAACUAACAAGGAUUCCCC